UUUUGAAGUUUAAAUUUUUUCGAUUGAAUCAUUUUGGAACAAACGUACCGUGGUGGGCGGGUGCUUCUCUAUUGGUCAGACAUGUUUGAUUGACAAGUGUCUACACCAACGACGUCUUUCUGACAAAGAAGUCUUGUUCGGCACUCCCCAGGCCAGACAGCUUUUUACCAGCAAGAGGGAACAGCGGUGAAGUUGUCGCAUUGGAAGCAAAGUUGUACUACUUUGUAGCAAAAAUUAUUACAGUCUGUGUUGUCCGUGGAGGAGUUGCCCACCAUUUUUUCUCAGAAGGGCUGUUUCAGCAAUUUGCGGGCUUCCAAAGGCCCCUUUCAGACCAGAAGUUCUGCAUGAUCACAAACUCCGGGAGCAGCUAAUCAAGGUUUGCAGAGGGCUUCAAGAUUCUGGGGCUACUGAAAGAGCUGCAGAAAAACCCAGCCGUUGUUCCUGACAUGUCCGUGUGUGAGGAGAAAGCCCUCACUGCCAGGGACAUGAGCCACAGUGGCCUAUUCUGCUCAGGGCAGCAAUCAGCGCGUUCUGGAGAACCAAUUGGUCUGCUUUAGGAGUGACUGGCUGAUUGACAUUAAAGAAGAGGAGGAUGGUCCACCCUCUCUCUCGAUGUUCACCUCUGGAGCCUCUGCCAUCCCUCCACUUGGCUUUUCCUGCCAGCCUGAAAUCCAGUUUCUGCAUGACACCAAGACAAUUUACCCAGAAGCCAAUACUAGUGUUGUUGUCCUGUUGUAUCUGUCGCUGCACUCCUCCUACAAGGCUGUUAGAAUAUACAUGAUGGAGGGAAUUUUGCAAGCUCCGACCUUUGGAGUUUCUUAAAUGAUCACGAAUGUGACUAUGAAAGGUUACGCUGUAAGGUGAUGACGGGUUUGCAUGUUUGUCCAGCUGUUGUUAAUGUUUUACUUAAUUUUAAGAUAAAACGUGGUUUUACAAGUCUGAAAAGUGUACCAGUGUUUAAAAAAUACUGUUCAUAUGUUUUUUACUAAAAGCCUUUAGCUGGUCCUGAGGAUAAAAUAUCAGAAGACUGUGCCAGAUGAUUCAGGUUCUGUCAUUAAACUUCUGAAAUGGU
Long non-coding RNA from Fundulus heteroclitus (mummichog), 1072 nucleotides. RefSeq lists it as uncharacterized. The record is from RefSeq and is a predicted model, not a curated record. The transcript is spliced from 4 exons. NCBI's taxonomy places the organism in Eukaryota, Metazoa, Chordata, Actinopteri, Cyprinodontiformes, Fundulidae.